This 468-nucleotide ribosomal RNA is filed under the name uncultured bacterium. Its description in RNAcentral is "partial 16S ribosomal RNA". It matches the Rfam family "Bacterial small subunit ribosomal RNA", at positions 28 to 507 of the family's 1533-position model. The record is from RNAcentral.
GACGAACGCUGGCGGCGUGCUUAACACAUGCAAGUCGAACGGAAAGGCCCUGCUUUUGUGGGGUGCUCGAGUGGCGAACGGGGGAGUAACACGUGAGUAACCUGCCCUUGACUUUGGGAUAACCUCAGGCAACUGGGGCUAAUACCGGAUAGGAGCUCCUGCUGCAUGGUGGGGGUUGGAAAGUUUCGGCGGUUGGGGAUGGAAUCGCGGCUUAUCAGCUUGGUGGUGGGGUGGUGGCUUACCAAGGCUUUGACGGGUAGCCGGCCUGAGAGGGUGACCGGCCACAUUGGGACUGAGAUACGGCCCAGACUCCUACGGGAGGCAGCAGUGGGGAAGAUUGCACAAUGGGCGGAAGCCUGAUGCAGCAACGCCGCGUGCGGGAUGACGGCCUUCGGGUUGUAAACCGCUUUCGCCUGUGACGAAGCGUGAGUGACGGUAAUGGGUAAAGAAGCACCGGCUAACUACGUG